UCGAGGAUCUUUAGCAAUGCCCGAAAGGGUGACUAUGCGACGCCGCGUGGAGGAUGAAGGCCUUCGGGUUGUAAACUCCUGUCAGAGGGGAAGAAUAACUACGCGUGAACAACGCGUAGCUUGACAUCACCCUCAGAGGAAGCCACGGCUAACUCUGUGCCAGCAGCCGCGGUAAGACAGAGGUGGCAAGCGUUGUUCGGAUUUAUUGGGUGUAAAGGGUAGGUAGGUGGCUUGGAAAGUCCGGUGUGAAAUCCCACGGCUCAACCGUGGAACUGCAUUGGAAACUUCCAGACUUGAGUACCGGAGAGGUGAGGGGAAUUCUCGGUGUAAGGGUGAAAUCUGUAGAUAUCGAGAGGAACACCAGUGGCGAAGGCGCCUCACUGGCCGGUUACUGACACUGAGCUACGAAAGCAAGGGGAGCAAACAGG
RNAcentral lists this ribosomal RNA (428 nucleotides) under uncultured bacterium. Its description in RNAcentral is "bacterial SSU rRNA". It matches the Rfam family "Bacterial small subunit ribosomal RNA", at positions 355 to 776 of the family's 1533-position model. The record is from RNAcentral.